UGAAAAAGCAAUGUGUAAAAAAUUAGACUAGUCAGUCAGUUGCCCAUUUAUCUAAUCAUAUUAUUAUGGCGGAGCUUUCAUAAUGAUUAAUUUUUAUACUUCUUAAUUGAUCACAUAAAUAAUUUCAAUUUCAGAACAUUUACAGAAUUACAUACGAAUUUCCGAGUCCUGUUUUUUCUUCCAAUUCUUGCCAAGCUGUUCCCCGUCCUUUCCGGGUAUACAAUUAUUCGCGAGGUUCUCGGCCGAUUCACGGCUUGCUUCAAAAUUCCAAUCGAUGAUCAUUUAAACUCUUACUCACCAGAUUUCGACAGAGAUUUCACGGACGCCUUUAUCACCCAGAUGCGAAAUACGACAGACAAACAGUCGCCAUUUUAUGGCAAAGUUGGAGAGGAUAACCUUCUUGCAACCCUGGCAGACAUAUACUUUGGUGGGACCGACACAACUUCGACAACUUUGACAUGGUUGAUUCUGUACGUUUCGAAGAUGCCGGAGAUUCAAAAAAAACUUCAAGAUGAAAUUGAGUCUAUAACGGGAAAUGUGACACCAAUCGGUACCAUGGAUCGGGCAAGGUAAGUUUCUUGAAAGUUACCAGAAUUCUUGAAAUUUAUUUUUUAUUCCUCUAUAAUUUCAAAGCUGAUAUUUGUAGAGUAAUGUAUA
Long non-coding RNA from Folsomia candida, 657 nucleotides. RefSeq lists it as uncharacterized. The transcript has 3 exons. The record is from RefSeq and is a predicted model, not a curated record. Lineage: Eukaryota; Metazoa; Arthropoda; Collembola; Entomobryomorpha; Isotomidae.